Molecule: transfer RNA, 74 nt
Filed under: Caulobacter sp.
Lineage: Bacteria; Pseudomonadati; Pseudomonadota; Alphaproteobacteria; Caulobacterales; Caulobacteraceae
Also listed under: 34 other names
Description: tRNA-Gln
Rfam family: tRNA
About the family: Transfer RNA (tRNA) molecules are approximately 80 nucleotides in length.
Source: RNAcentral
UGGGGAAUGGUGUAAUGGUAACACAGCGGUUUUUGGUACCGUCGUUCUAGGUUCGAGUCCUAGUUCCCCAGCCA